AGAGUUUGAUCCUGGCUCAGAACGAACGCUGGCGGCGUGCCUAACACAUGCAAGUCGAACGGGGUUAGUUGGUAGCACUGAGCUAUCAGCCAAUAGCUGUCAGCCGACAGCAUUCAGCAGACAGGAUAUUAACUGAAAGUUGAGAGCUGAAGGCUAAGGGCUUAGGAGCUGAAAGCUGAGAGCUAUCAGCUAACUUAGUGGCGGACGGGUGAGUAACACGUAGGUAACCAACCCUCAAGCGGGGGACAACUCUUCGAAAGGAGAGCUAAUACCGCAUAAGCUCACGAACUGGGAUGUUAGUGAGAAAAGGAGUAAUUCACUUGAGGAUGGGCCUGCGGCCUAUCAGGUAGUUGGCGGGGUAACGGCCCACCAAGCCUAAGACGGGUAGCCGGACUGAGAGGUUGAACGGCCACACUGGAACUGAGACACGGUCCAGACUCCUACGGGAGGCAGCAGUGGGGAAUUUUGCGCAAUGGGGGAAACCCUGACGCAGCGACGCCGCGUGGAGGAUGAAGGUCUUCGGAUUGUAAACUCCUUUUGUCGGGGAAGAUAAUGACGGUACCCGAUGAAUAAGCCACGGCUAACUCUGUGCCAGCAGCCGCGGUAAGACAGAGGUGGCAAGCGUUGUUCGGAAUUACUGGGCUUAAAGGGCGCGUAGGCGGUGGAGUAAGUCUGAGGUGGAAGAUUAGGGCUUAACCCUAAAAUUGCCUUGGAAACUGCAUCACUUGAGUAAGCGAGGGGAUGGC
This 746-nucleotide ribosomal RNA is filed under the name uncultured Nitrospirota bacterium. RNAcentral's name for it is "bacterial SSU rRNA". It matches the Rfam family "Bacterial small subunit ribosomal RNA", at positions 8 to 662 of the family's 1533-position model. The record is from RNAcentral. Lineage: Bacteria; Pseudomonadati; Nitrospirota.